Mus musculus (house mouse) is the source of this 217-nucleotide long non-coding RNA. RefSeq annotates it as predicted gene, 39511. The record is from RefSeq and is a predicted model, not a curated record. NCBI's taxonomy places the organism in Eukaryota, Metazoa, Chordata, Mammalia, Rodentia, Muridae. The transcript has 3 exons.
CGCUCCAGGAUUGGUCGAUGGAAAAGCCGGCUGCCUGCCAGUUGGUCCGCACUGCCGGGGUACACAUGGCAUGCUGUGUAUAGAAGUCAGAAGACAGUUUGUGGGAGUCAGCUCCCAUAUAGGUUUCAGGGACUAAACUCAGCCAGGUAUGCAUCAGUGGAAAAUGACUGUAUUAGUAGAAGAAAGAAGAGACCAGGAGUUGAACCUCAUCCUCGCC